RNAcentral lists this ribosomal RNA (230 nucleotides) under uncultured bacterium. RNAcentral describes it as "partial 16S ribosomal RNA". It matches the Rfam family "Bacterial small subunit ribosomal RNA", at positions 109 to 339 of the family's 1533-position model. The record is from RNAcentral.
CGUAACACGUAUGCAACCUACCUUUAAGUGGGGGAUAGCCUGGAGAAAUUCAGAUUAAUACCCCAUACGAUCUUUGACUGGCAUCAGUUGAAGAUGAAAGCUACGGCGCUUAAAGAUGGGCAUGCGAUGCAUUAGCUAGUUGGCGGGGUAAAAGCCCACCAAGGCUACGAUGCAUAGCUGGUCUGAGAGGAUGAUCAGCCACACUGGCACUGAGACACGGGCCAGACUCC